Molecule: ribosomal RNA, 277 nt
Filed under: Pseudo-nitzschia pungens
Lineage: Eukaryota; Bacillariophyta; Bacillariophyceae; Bacillariales; Bacillariaceae
Description: partial Bacterial large subunit ribosomal RNA
Rfam family: Bacterial large subunit ribosomal RNA
Source: RNAcentral
UUAAGUUAUUAAGGGCGCACGGUGGAUGCCUUGGCACUAGAAGCCGAUGAAGGACGUUACUAACGACGAUAUGCUUUGGGUAGCUGUAAGUAAGCGUUGAUCCAGAGAUUUCCGAAUGGGGGAACCCAGCAUGAGUUAUGUCAUGUUAUCGACAUGUGAAUUCAUAGCAUGUCAGAAGGCAGACCCGGAGAACUGAAACAUCUUAGUACCCGGAGGAAGAGAAAGAAAAAUCGAUUCCCUGAGUAGCGGCGAGCGAAACGGGAAGGGCCCAAACCAA